Molecule: transfer RNA, 73 nt
Filed under: Cricetulus griseus (Chinese hamster)
Lineage: Eukaryota; Metazoa; Chordata; Mammalia; Rodentia; Cricetidae
Rfam family: tRNA
About the family: Transfer RNA (tRNA) molecules are approximately 80 nucleotides in length.
Source: Rfam by way of RNAcentral
GCUCAGCUAGCUCAGUUCAUAGAGCAUGAGACUCUUAAUCUUAGGGUAGUGGGUUCAUGCCUCAUGUUGGGUG